RNAcentral lists this ribosomal RNA (2901 nucleotides) under human gut metagenome. RNAcentral describes it as "bacterial LSU rRNA". It matches the Rfam family "Bacterial large subunit ribosomal RNA". The record is from RNAcentral.
UUAAGCGACUAAGCGUACACGGUGGAUGCCCUGGCAGUCAGAGGCGAUGAAGGACGUGCUAAUCUGCGAUAAGCGUCGGUAAGGUGAUAUGAACCGUUAUAACCGGCGAUUUCCGAAUGGGGAAACCCAGUGUGAUUCGUCACACUAUCAUUAACUGAAUCCAUAGGUUAAUGAGGCGAACCGGGGGAACUGAAACAUCUAAGUACCCCGAGGAAAAGAAAUCAACCGAGAUUCCCCCAGUAGCGGCGAGCGAACGGGGAGCAGCCCAGAGCCUGAAUCAGUGUGUGUGUUAGUGGAAGCGUCUGGAAAGGCGCGCGAUACAGGGUGACAGCCCCGUACACAAAAAUGCACAUGCUGUGAGCUCGAUGAGUAGGGCGGGACACGUGGUAUCCUGUCUGAAUAUGGGGGGACCAUCCUCCAAGGCUAAAUACUCCUGACUGACCGAUAGUGAACCAGUACCGUGAGGGAAAGGCGAAAAGAACCCCGGCGAGGGGAGUGAAAAAGAACCUGAAACCGUGUACGUACAAGCAGUGGGAGCACGCUUCGGCGUGUGACUGCGUACCUUUUGUAUAAUGGGUCAGCGACUUAUAUUCUGUAGCAAGGUUAACCGAAUAGGGGAGCCGAAGGGAAACCGAGUCUUAACUGGGCGUUAAGUUGCAGGGUAUAGACCCGAAACCCGGUGAUCUAGCCAUGGGCAGGUUGAAGGUUGGGUAACACUAACUGGAGGACCGAACCGACUAAUGUUGAAAAAUUAGCGGAUGACUUGUGGCUGGGGGUGAAAGGCCAAUCAAACCGGGAGAUAGCUGGUUCUCCCCGAAAGCUAUUUAGGUAGCGCCUCGUGAAUUCAUCUCCGGGGGUAGAGCACUGUUUCGGCAAGGGGGUCAUCCCGACUUACCAACCCGAUGCAAACUGCGAAUACCGGAGAAUGUUAUCACGGGAGACACACGGCGGGUGCUAACGUCCGUCGUGAAGAGGGAAACAACCCAGACCGCCAGCUAAGGUCCCAAAGUCAUGGUUAAGUGGGAAACGAUGUGGGAAGGCCCAGACAGCCAGGAUGUUGGCUUAGAAGCAGCCAUCAUUUAAAGAAAGCGUAAUAGCUCACUGGUCGAGUCGGCCUGCGCGGAAGAUGUAACGGGGCUAAACCAUGCACCGAAGCUGCGGCAGCGACACUAUGUGUUGUUGGGUAGGGGAGCGUUCUGUAAGCCUGUGAAGGUGUGCUGUGAGGCAUGCUGGAGGUAUCAGAAGUGCGAAUGCUGACAUAAGUAACGAUAAAGCGGGUGAAAAGCCCGCUCGCCGGAAGACCAAGGGUUCCUGUCCAACGUUAAUCGGGGCAGGGUGAGUCGACCCCUAAGGCGAGGCCGAAAGGCGUAGUCGAUGGGAAACAGGUUAAUAUUCCUGUACUUGGUGUUACUGCGAAGGGGGGACGGAGAAGGCUAUGUUGGCCGGGCGACGGUUGUCCCGGUUUAAGCGUGUAGGCUGGUUUUCCAGGCAAAUCCGGAAAAUCAAGGCUGAGGCGUGAUGACGAGGCACUACGGUGCUGAAGCAACAAAUGCCCUGCUUCCAGGAAAAGCCUCUAAGCAUCAGGUAACAUCAAAUCGUACCCCAAACCGACACAGGUGGUCAGGUAGAGAAUACCAAGGCGCUUGAGAGAACUCGGGUGAAGGAACUAGGCAAAAUGGUGCCGUAACUUCGGGAGAAGGCACGCUGAUAUGUAGGUGAAGCGACUUGCUCGUGGAGCUGAAAUCAGUCGAAGAUACCAGCUGGCUGCAACUGUUUAUUAAAAACACAGCACUGUGCAAACACGAAAGUGGACGUAUACGGUGUGACGCCUGCCCGGUGCCGGAAGGUUAAUUGAUGGGGUUAGCGCAAGCGAAGCUCUUGAUCGAAGCCCCGGUAAACGGCGGCCGUAACUAUAACGGUCCUAAGGUAGCGAAAUUCCUUGUCGGGUAAGUUCCGACCUGCACGAAUGGCGUAAUGAUGGCCAGGCUGUCUCCACCCGAGACUCAGUGAAAUUGAACUCGCUGUGAAGAUGCAGUGUACCCGCGGCAAGACGGAAAGACCCCGUGAACCUUUACUAUAGCUUGACACUGAACAUUGAGCCUUGAUGUGUAGGAUAGGUGGGAGGCUUUGAAGUGUGGACGCCAGUCUGCAUGGAGCCGACCUUGAAAUACCACCCUUUAAUGUUUGAUGUUCUAACGUUGACCCGUGAUCCGGGUUGCGGACAGUGUCUGGUGGGUAGUUUGACUGGGGCGGUCUCCUCCUAAAGAGUAACGGAGGAGCACGAAGGUUGGCUAAUCCUGGUCGGACAUCAGGAGGUUAGUGCAAUGGCAUAAGCCAGCUUGACUGCGAGCGUGACGGCGCGAGCAGGUGCGAAAGCAGGUCAUAGUGAUCCGGUGGUUCUGAAUGGAAGGGCCAUCGCUCAACGGAUAAAAGGUACUCCGGGGAUAACAGGCUGAUACCGCCCAAGAGUUCAUAUCGACGGCGGUGUUUGGCACCUCGAUGUCGGCUCAUCACAUCCUGGGGCUGAAGUAGGUCCCAAGGGUAUGGCUGUUCGCCAUUUAAAGUGGUACGCGAGCUGGGUUUAGAACGUCGUGAGACAGUUCGGUCCCUAUCUGCCGUGGGCGCUGGAGAACUGAGGGGGGCUGCUCCUAGUACGAGAGGACCGGAGUGGACGCAUCACUGGUGUUCGGGUUGUCAUGCCAAUGGCACUGCCCGGUAGCUAAAUGCGGAAGAGAUAAGUGCUGAAAGCAUCUAAGCACGAAACUUGCCCCGAGAUGAGUUCUCCCUGACUCCCUGAGAGUCCUGAAGGAACGUUGAAGACGACGACGUUGAUAGGCCGGGUGUGUAAGCGCAGCGAUGCGUUGAGCUAACCGGUACUAAUGAACCGUGAGGCUUAACCUU